AACGAACGCUGGCGGCAUGCCUAACACAUGCAAGUCGAACGAACCCUUCGGGGUUAGUGGCGCACGGGUGCGUAACGCGUGGGAAUCUGCCCUUGGCUUCGGAAUAACUCAGGGAAACUUGUGCUAAUACCGGAUGAUGUCUUCGGACCAAAGAUUUAUCGGCAAGGGAUGAGCCCGCGUAGGAUUAGGUAGUUGGUGGGGUAAAGGCCUACCAAGCCGACGAUCCUUAGCUGGUCUGAGAGGAUGAUCAGCCACACUGGGACUGAGACACGGCCCAGACUCCUACGGGAGGCAGCAGUGGGGAAUAUUGGACAAUGGGCGCAAGCCUGAUCCAGCAAUGCCGCGUGAGUGAUGAAGGCCCUCGGGUCGUAAAGCUCUUUUACCAGGGAUGAUAAUGACAGUACCUGGAGAAUAAGCUCCGGCUAACUCCGUG
This 433-nucleotide ribosomal RNA is filed under the name uncultured bacterium. RNAcentral's name for it is "partial 16S ribosomal RNA". It matches the Rfam family "Bacterial small subunit ribosomal RNA", at positions 29 to 507 of the family's 1533-position model. The record is from RNAcentral.